Molecule: ribosomal RNA, 616 nt
Filed under: uncultured bacterium
Lineage: Bacteria
Description: bacterial SSU rRNA
Rfam family: Bacterial small subunit ribosomal RNA
Source: RNAcentral
CCGCAUAAGCGCACAGUAUCGCAUGAUGCAGUGUGAAAAACUCCGGUGGUAUGAGAUGGACCCGCGUCUGAUUAGCUUGUUGGUGAGGUAACGACCCACCAAGGCGACGAUCAGUAGCCGGCCUGAGAGGGUGACCGGCCACAUUGGGACUGAGACACGGCCCAAACUCCUACGGGAGGCAGCAGUGGGGAAUAUUGCACAAUGGGGGAAACCCUGAUGCAGCGACGCCGCGUGAAGGAAGAAGUAUCUCGGUAUGUAAACUUCUAUCAGCAGGGAAGAUAAUGACGGUACCUGACUAAGAAGCCCCGGCUAACUACGUGCCAGCAGCCGCGGUAAUACGUAGGGGGCAAGCGUUAUCCGGAUUUACUGGGUGUAAAGGGAGCGUAGGCGGCGGAGCAAGUCAGAAGUGAAAGCCCGGGGCUCAACCCCGGGACGGCUUUUGAAACUGCCCUGCUUGAUUUCAGGAGAGGUAAGCGGAAUUCCUAGUGUAGCGGUGAAAUGCGUAGAUAUUAGGAGGAACACCAGUGGCGAAGGCGGCUUACUGGACUGACAAUGACGCUGAGGCUCGAAAGCGUGGGGAGCAAACAGGAUUAGAUACCCUGGUAGUCCACGCCGU